CUAUUCAUGGAUGCACAGAUGGCACCAUCCUCCAGGCCCAUUAUGCUCACAGAUGAAUCUACUUAAUUGGCCUGGUUUCUGGCUGUGGGGCUGCAGAGUGGACCGGACCUGCAGGAGGAAAACAGCCUCCUACAAAAGCUGCCUUUUCUCGCCCUUCCCGGUCUGACCUGAGCCUCGCAGCUCCACCAUCGGCUCUGCCAGACUGCCUCUCCCAACUCCACCACACCACGAUCCGGACUCCACUGAAAAGCCUCCCGACUCAAGCCUCCAUCCGCCAUUUUCAGCAGAUGGAAAGCAGGUAGAGCAUUAAAACCCCAAGCCCCAGGUCCCAGACUAACGCAGUGUGGAUUAUGGCUUUUUCUGGAGAGUCAGUGGAGAGUCUGGAGGAAAUUCCUGCUCAUGUGUGGAGCGGCUUGCCAGAGUAUCUGAAUCUGGGACCGUCGGCUGUAAAUCCGAGUCGCAUCGGUGUUUGGGCCACCAAAGUGAUCCCAAAGGGGAAACGGUUUGGUCCAUUUAUUGGAGAGAAGAAGAAGAGGUCACAGGUCACCAGUAAUGUUUACAUGUGGGAGGUUUAUUUCCCGGCUCGGGGAUGGAUGUGCAUCGAUGCUACAGACCCGCUGAAGGGGAACUGGCUCCGGUACGUGAACUGGGCUCGUUCCAGUGAGGAGCAGAAUCUGUUUCCACUGGAGAUCAACAGAGCCAUUUACUACAAAGUUUUGAGGCCUAUCGGGCCAGGAGAGGAGCUGCUGGUGUGGUACACAGUGGAAGACAACCCCGAGAUAACAGCUGCGCUGGAAGAAGAAAGAGCCAGCAGAAGGAGCUCACCCAGGUCGAAACGAGCUAGAAGAAAGUUGGUGGAGAAAGCCAGACAGGCUGGUUUGGGUGGAUUCAAGAAAACUAGUGGAACCAAAACUACUGUCAGGGAAAUGUGGGAGGGGGGAGAAGGUGAUAAGGAGGAGGGUGAGAGACCAUCAGGGACCUCUCAGGAACUCCAUGAAGCCCAUCCUGUAGGAAGCACCAACCACAAGCAUUUGCAGGACACGUCCGCAUCAGGGGUGGACAGGGGAAACUAUGAGGAAGAUGAAGAAGAAGAGGACGAGGAAGAAGAGAAUGGCGAUGACAGUUGUGAAAUGCAGCACCAAACCUCAAAGCAAUUAUCCGAGCAGUCGAGCUCGUUGCUAUCGGGCAGUGGAGAAAGCCAUAAGGAUCCACAGGAGAACCCCCUGCUAGCUCAGCGGGGUGGAGACCCUGAGCAGGACCCCGACGGGGAGCUGGAGGAAGACCUCCAAGGAGAAUCCUAUCCCUGCGACCACUGUGAGCGCCACUUCUCCUCCAGACAGGGUCUGGAGCGCCAUAUACACGUUCAUGGCAUCAGCAAUCAACAAGCACAAGUCUUUAAGUGCCGAUACUGCAAUAAGCCUUUCAGCUCACAAGUCGGGCGCCGGCGGCAUGAAAGACGGCAUGAAAACGGAUCCAAGAAGAUGGCCGGCUCCCAGGCUGGAGUUGGCGGCCUCCUCAGUCCUGCAGGGCAGACUGAUUCAAGUCCUGACUGUACCAGUCCAACCAGUCAGCUCAUAGCCAUAGGGUCCCAGUUUGACAUGCAGAGGAAAGAGUUGGGACCCCACACUGAUCGUCCGUCGAUGUUUGAUGAGAACGGGGAGUCAAAGGAGCUUCAUCCCUGCAAGUACUGCAACAAAGCUUUCGGCACACACACCAACAUGCGCAGGCACCAACGCAGGAUACAUGAGCGCCACCUGUUGCCGAAGGGAGUUCGUAGGAAAGGCAUGCUGCUGCAAGAGGCGUCGGCGCAGCAGCCGGGCGCGUCCCCGAGUGCCAGCCCUCCUUUGGUCUACAUGCCCAGUGCCGACACGGAGGACGAGGCAGACAGAGACGAUUACGCCAUCGACAUAUCCAAAAACAUCUCGGAGAACCUCAGCUUCUACAUUGAUGGAAAGAUUGUGUCAACGAGCACGGCAAGCAGCUGUGAGGUGAUAGAAGUGGACACGAGGUCGGCGGCGUUGUUUGGCCUGGACACAGUCAUCAUCAGCCCAAAUCAGAUUAGUCAAGCACUGAAGGUGGAGGCGAGAACGAACGCCACAAAGCCAAUCACCAGUAAUGAGCAGCCUGCAGCAAAAAGAAGAACGUCAACUCCCCCUCUCGUCACCAGCCUGAAAGUGGAGACGGAAACUGCUCCUUCGCCUUCAUCCUCUACGUCGUCCUCAUCCAACCUGUUGGUAGGGGGACUUUUCCAGCAGGAUUCAUCAACACUUCAGAGGGAGAAAACCAUUUAUCUCUCCCCUAAACUCAAACAGCUCCUUCAGACGCAAGACUUCCAAAAGUCAACAAUAGCCCUCAUUACUGAGAGCCACAGACUGGCCACACUUCCAGGCGCUUCAGGAAAGUACAAAAGGAGGACUGGUUCUCCGCCUUCAUCCCCACAGCUCAGUCCGACUGUCAAAACUGAAAGCUGUAAAACAGAAGCAGCGAGCGGAAACAACCUCAAGGUGCCAAAGCUGGAAAGCCAUAGUGUGCCACCUCCUGAAAGCCUCCUAGAUGAGGAAGAUGAGGAUUCUCCGAGCUCCUCCGGAAGCCACACCUCCGGAAGCCGCUCCUCCGGAAGCCACGCCUCCUCCAGCGGCAGGGGGAGUUCCUGCAACCAGCAGCCCUUGGAUCUGUCCAGCUCUGUCUGCAAGCGAAGCGACGGCCCAAAUCAGGCGACUGGAGACUCGGCUCUGGAUUUAAGUGUAAACCGGAAAGCCACCACAGAACCCGAUUUAAAAGGCGGGCAAGCGCCACAGCCGCCGGUAAAGAAGAAAAAGCCAAACACGAGCAUGUUGGAAAAGGUUCUAAUGAACGAGUACGUUGGUCUAACGUUGCCAGGAGAGGAGGGGCCUGCAACCCUGGCAACCCUAAGCUGUUUUCGUACUCAGUCGCCAAACGUUGCAUCAGAUUCUGCUCACCCGUCUCCACCCUCCCUGACUCCAGUCACAAUAAACCCCUCCUCACCCAGCUCUUCUAGUGUAACGUCUCCGACUCCACCUCCUCCCAUUCUGCCCACUAUACCGUCACCUCCAACGCUCCCCAGCUCACCGCAGCCUUCAGAUUCACCCCUCCCAGUCCUCUCGCCAAAAAUGUCUCCAAUAGCUGAUGAGCCCAAGCAUCUGUCAGAUUCUAUUGAAAACUACUCAUCGGAGGAAAACAAGGAUGAAGAGGAGAGUUACAUUUCUGAGCCACAAGAUUACCCAAGCACUCCACUCCAAAGUCCCUCCAAUCAGUCGGUAGCAUCAAGUCCACCUGGACCUAAAACAGAAGAUCUGGCUAAAAAUAUUGAUGUUUCUCUUUCUACAGUAUGUAACAGUCUAACAAACGGCAGCUUUACCCAGGUUGAAGAAACGGAAAUAUCUUUGAAAGCCGAUUUUGCUGCUCUUUCCCCUCAACCAGAAUUGCCGUCAUCUUCCAAAUCCCCUCCUGUUGCAUCACACAGGUCCUCUCCAUCAGCUGCUUUGCAAUCUCCCCCACAGAUUAAAGUGAAAGAAGAGCCUCUUCACUGUGUAGACGACUUGUCUGCUGUAAGCCACUCACCUCACGACUCCUCGCUUCCGCCUGCUGCUCUCGAUAAACUGUCCACUGAAAUCCGGGAGGGAGAGGAAGCGGACUCCACGUACUGCAAGACCUUCGUGUGCAAUGUGUGUGAGGAGCCAUUCGACUCCAUCAAAGAGCUCAGCGGCCACAUCACAGAUCACGCUGCUGACUGGCCCUUCAAAUGCGAAUUUUGCGUCCAACUGUUUGGCGACGAGGCGGCCGUUUUGGCCCACCGCUCAGCGCUGCAUGGGGUGGGUCGCAUCUUCCUGUGCUCCGUCUGUUCCAAAGAGUUUGCCUUUCUCUGUAACCUUCAGCAGCACCAAAAGGACCUUCACCCCAACGAGUCAUGCACGCAUACUACUGUAGAGAGCGGCAAGCUGAGGUCGCAGAAUUACACUGACCCGUCCAGAGCCAAAGAGGAGAGCGCUCCCUCGACACCAGUGCCAGGAACGCCCAAUAAAAAUGACGUGUCGGCGAAAGAGGAGGCCGAUGUGAACGGGAAUAACACAGAAGACCCCAACGAGGAGCUGUACACUACAAUAAAGAUCAUGGCUUCAGAGGGAGGGAAGCCUAAAGGUCCCGAUGUCCGACUUGGCAUCAAUCAACGCUAUCCCAGUUUCAAACCACCACCUUUCCCCUACCACAGCCGCUCUCACACUGGUUCGGUGGCCUCUGCUACAAACUUCACCACCCACAACAUUCCCCAAACUUUCAGUACUGCCAUCCGCUGCACCAAAUGCGGCAACAGCUUUGACAACAUGCCCGAGCUGCACAAGCACAUACUGGUGUGUGCCAACGCCAGCGACAAGAAGCGUUAUACUCCCAAGAAAAACCCGAUUCCCCUAAAGCAAAUUGUGAAGAGCCCCAAUGGAAUGGUGUCGCCCACCACAACAGCGGAGGCUGCGCCGGAGGUCGGCGCCGUCGCAGGUCAGAGUGCGUUCCGUCGGAUGGGGCAACCAAAGAAACUCAACUUCAAUCAGGACACGGGGAAAACGAAAAUGAGCGCCCUGAGUAAGAAGAAGAACCAGCUGGUCCAGAAGGCAAUCUCGCAGAAACAUAGAACCGUUAGUACUGCAAAGAAGGUGGUGGUCAAAUCUGAAGAUGUGCCGCUGUCCAAUGUCUGCCCCCACUGCAGCCGGGAGUUCACCUACACGGCUAGUCUGCAUAAACACAUGGUCAUCAGCUGCCCCAUGAAACCUGCCGUCACUAAAAAGGGCAAGAAAGGGUUGGCAGAGGUGAAAAAAGAGGCUGUUUCUUUAGUGGAUAAGAACACAAAUAGGAAGAGACUUCCAGAAGACGAUGUGCAGACAGAGCCACAGGCUAAACCUGCGGGAAAGAGAAGAGCGCGAAGUUUAACUGCAGCAGAGCCUGAAUCCACUGAGGUGAGCAAAGGAAAGCCUCCUUCUGCAGUGGGUCGGUUAAAAAGGCCUGCCGCGCUCUCUGCACCCAUUUCCGCCCGCAAAAAACCCAAAAAGGGCCAAGCUGUGGCUCUACCUCCCCCUCCUCCUCCUCCUGACACUCCCAGUGACACAGCCCAACGGCCAACCAUGAGAACGCAGCGUACGGGCAAAAAGCCAGCGACUAAGAGAUCAGCAGUGGUCAAACCGCCACCAACAGCGCUGCCGGCACAGCUGAAGAAAGAGGAGCGCGUCUCGCUCAGAAAGAGGGACCGGGCCGGGGGUCCGGUCACCAGGAGCUCACAGAUGGCCAACGCUUCUCCUCCUGCUGAGGUGAAGACUGAGGAGCAACCGGUGCAAGAGACGAAAGACCCCCAGGAGUUGCCGAUGAAGUAAGCCAUGGCGACCGCGUCGGGUUUCUCUGUGGACUCCAGACUCCACUUAUCAGAAGCAACAUCUGGUUUGAUUUUCUGUUCAGACGCCUUCCUGGAGGAGGAAUCAACAGAUUAUAAUGCUGCCAACACCAAAACCUUCUCUAUUGAUGACACACCUGACCCUGUCGUUCAGUGACUGACCCUGCCUCUGCUGGACCGCGCUAUUGGCCAGACGUUUGCUGCAGAUAACUGUAUCUGUAGACUGGAAAACUGCUUCCCAGCUCCUCUGUUAACAUGUUUCUCCAGUAGAGAAGCUGCUACUGUCAUUAAAGUAAAUAGCAGGAGCAUUAAAGGGCCAGUAUUACAUGUUUUCCAGGCACAGAGUGCCAUUUUACAGCACAACCAAGUAGCCGUUAACUUCAGCUGUUAAAGAAAUACUUCAUACAGCUCUGGGAAAAAUUAAG
Gambusia affinis (western mosquitofish) is the source of this 5817-nucleotide RNA transcript. It is a transcript of the gene named PR domain containing 2, with ZNF domain b, with no coding region annotated. Lineage: Eukaryota; Metazoa; Chordata; Actinopteri; Cyprinodontiformes; Poeciliidae. The record is from RefSeq and is a predicted model, not a curated record. The transcript is spliced from 9 exons.